GCAGUCGAGCGAACAGAUAAGGAGCUUGCUCCUUUGAAGUUAGCGGCGGACGGGUGAGUAACACGUGGGUAACCUACCUAUAAGACUGGGAUAACUUCGGGAAACCGGAGCUAAUACCGGAUAAUAUUUAGAACCGCAUGGUUCUAAAGUGAAAGAUGGUUUUGCUAUCACUUAUAGAUGGACCCGCGCCGUAUUAGCUAGUUGGUAAGGUAACGGCUUACCAAGGCGACGAUACGUAGCCGACCUGAGAGGGUGAUCGGCCACACUGGAACUGAGACACGGUCCAGACUCCUACGGGAGGCAGCAGUAGGGAAUCUUCCGCAAUGGGCGAAAGCCUGACGGAGCAACGCCGCGUGAGUGAUGAAGGGUUUCGGCUCGUAAAACUCUGUUAUUAGGGAAGAACAAAUGUGUAAGUAACUGUGCACAUCUUGACGGUACCUAAUCAGAAAGCCACGGCUAACUACGUGCCAGCAGCCGCGGUAAUACGUAGGUGGCAAGCGUUAUCCGGAAUUAUUGGGCGUAAAGCGCGCGUAGGCGGUUUCUUAAGUCUGAUGUGAAAGCCCACGGCUCAACCGUGGAGGGUCAUUGGAAACUGGGAAACUUGAGUGCAGAAGAGGAAAGUGGAAUUCCAUGUGUAGCGGUGAAAUGCGCAGAGAUAUGGAGGAACACCAGUGGCGAAGGCGACUUUCUGGUCUGUAACUGACGCUGAUGUGCGAAAGCGUGGGGAUCAAACAGGAUUAGAUACCCUGGUAGUCCACGCCGUAAACGAUGAGUG
This 775-nucleotide ribosomal RNA is filed under the name uncultured Staphylococcus sp. Its description in RNAcentral is "bacterial SSU rRNA". It matches the Rfam family "Bacterial small subunit ribosomal RNA", at positions 57 to 815 of the family's 1533-position model. The record is from RNAcentral. Lineage: Bacteria; Bacillati; Bacillota; Bacilli; Caryophanales; Staphylococcaceae.